RNAcentral lists this unclassified non-coding RNA (222 nucleotides) under Hevea brasiliensis (rubber tree). The record is from RNAcentral. Lineage: Eukaryota; Viridiplantae; Streptophyta; Magnoliopsida; Malpighiales; Euphorbiaceae.
GGAUCUUGCUGAUAGAAUGAUUGAGGAAAAGGAUACAGAAAUUUCUAGGCUUUUAGAUGAUAACAAGAAUCUUCGACAAUCUUUGGAAUCAAAGCCUCCCGCAGAUCAAAUUGACAAUAUUGCAGUAACUCAAAAACAGGACUCUUCAAAUUUGAGCGCCUCCAAUGCAGAACAACAGAUUCUGCUUUUAGCAAGGCAGCAGGCUCAGAGAGAAGAGCAACU